AACAAACAGACUCACAUAUCAACUGGUUUCAGGCAAGCCGUGGUCCUGAUUAUUGAUUUUUUAAAAGGUAUCAGCUUUAACAAGUGACCUCAGAGGACUCAGUUACCAGAGCUACAGCCUAAUUCCCAGAGUAAGCAGAAUCAAGAGUUUACUGGAUAAAGGAAAAGGAAAGGACUUGUGAAAAGCCUAAAACUCUCUGAGAAGGUGACUCCCUGAUGUCCUUCUUGUGUUUUCUAGAUUCCCAAGAUGAAAUGCUCCAAGUGUUGUGCUCCAGGUAUUAGUGACCGAGGCACAGUGAGAACCACGACAACACACGGAGGGUUCCAGGUCCUGGAGGGGCCGUAAGGAAAUGUGCAAUGAGACAUCGCUGGGAAGGCAGUUAAGGACAGACACUAAAAUGUUAGAUGGAGCCAAUUUUCCAGGAAAAAGAAUGUAAAGAGAUCUGCGGUGACAGGAAGAGCAUUAAAAUGAAGGAAACCUAUAGGAUAUCAUGGGAGGGAAUGUCCCUCCCGGAGCAAACCGCAGGAACCCACACGAGGAGCAGAUAACCACGUGGGUGUAGCAACCGCUGGGCCUGACUGCAGGCUGUGUGGGCUCCAAAGGACUUUGUGUUGGUCGUGCUGAAGACAAGGUUGGACUUUUUUCAUAGCAGCAGAACAAAAGGAAAUGGGAACCCAGUAACCCAGGGAUAGAUUUCUACCUGGAUAAAUCAUAUUUCCAAGCAACAACUUUCCAUGAGUGGGUCCUUGAAGUGUUUUCUUCAUAAUCCCAUGGAAGAGCCUGGUUUCUGCUGGCAACAAAACUAGUGUUUCUCAGCACUUCCCACUUCCAACUCACAGGUUCUUGAAAAUAAUAUCUGAAUCAUGUAAUUUCUUGCCCUUUCUUUAAAUUUUGUGUAUUUGGAUAAGAUGGAAAGUAAAUAUGUAUAACAUGGCAGAGGAUGAAUCAAGUUUAUAUAUGAGUAUAAAAUACAUUCAUUCAGAAAAAAUCAAGAUCAGCAUAUAAGAUCAGCAAUAUUAUACGGCACAGUAAGAAGAAUGUAUACCUGUACAUAAUUACAGCAAGUACUGCUUUUAUUUGUCUCCAUUCCUUUGGCACUUAAGUCUGCAGGAGAGAUUCUUUGAGGUCAAUGAGCACGUCUACCAGAUUUGGAGGAUGUGAUGUUGAGAACAAUUCAAAGGAGUUCCAUUUUCUAACAUAAAUAAAUGUCUUGAGAUUUAACAAUGUAUAACACCAUAGGUAAAAAUGAACAAUGUAAUAAAAAAACUUGAGUGUGCCAUUACAUGGCCUUGGAUUUCUGAUAAUUAUGCCCUUUUUCCAAACCUAUUUGGGGCUCAGGUAUAAUUAAAACAGUACUUACUGACAGUAGUAAUGUUUUCCAUCAAAAACACAGGAAAUAGCAACAUAGAUGAGAAUAUCUGUAAAGAUCUUUUAAUGUCAUAUAAAAUUUUAUAGAA
Molecule: long non-coding RNA, 1457 nt
Organism: Artibeus jamaicensis (Jamaican fruit-eating bat)
Lineage: Eukaryota; Metazoa; Chordata; Mammalia; Chiroptera; Phyllostomidae
Exons: 4
Source: RefSeq, a predicted model, not a curated record